UGAAGAUGGCGACCGGCGCACGGGUGAGUAACACGUAUCCAACCUGCCGAUAACUCCGGGAUAGCCUUUCGAAAGAAAGAUUAAUACCGGAUGGCAUACGAAUAUCGCAUGAUAUUUUUAUUAAAGAAUUUCGGUUAUCGAUGGGGAUGCGUUCCAUUAGUUUGUUGGCGGGGUAACGGCCCACCAAGACUACGAUGGAUAGGGGUUCUGAGAGGAAGGUCCCCCACAUUGGAACUGAGACACGGUCCAAACUCCUACGGGAGGCAGCAGUGAGGAAUAUUGGUCAAUGGGCGAGAGCCUGAACCAGCCAAGUAGCGUGAAGGAUGAAGGCUCUAUGGGUCGUAAACUUCUUUUAUAUGGGAAUAAAGUUUUCCACGUGUGGAAUUUUGUAUGUACCAUAUGAAUAAGGAUCGGCUAACUCCGUGCCAGCAGCCGCGGUAAUACGGAGGAUCCGAGCGUUAUCCGGAUUUAUUGGGUUUAAAGGGAGCGUAGGUGGAUUGUUAAGUCAGUUGUGAAAGUUUGCGGCUCAACCGUAAAAUUGCAGUUGAAACUGGGAGUCUUGAGUACAGUAGAGGUGGGCGGAAUUCGUGGUGUAGCGG
RNAcentral lists this ribosomal RNA (599 nucleotides) under uncultured Bacteroidales bacterium. Its description in RNAcentral is "bacterial SSU rRNA". It matches the Rfam family "Bacterial small subunit ribosomal RNA", at positions 83 to 681 of the family's 1533-position model. Lineage: Bacteria; Pseudomonadati; Bacteroidota; Bacteroidia; Bacteroidales. The record is from RNAcentral.